This is a long non-coding RNA of Wasmannia auropunctata (little fire ant), 270 nucleotides long. RefSeq lists it as uncharacterized. The record is from RefSeq and is a predicted model, not a curated record. NCBI's taxonomy places the organism in Eukaryota, Metazoa, Arthropoda, Insecta, Hymenoptera, Formicidae. The transcript is spliced from 3 exons.
ACCAUAAACGAAUUGACCGCACUGUUUCCUGCCAGCAUCAUAAUACCACGUUGGAUGAUACCCUUCGCAAGGUCCAGCAAUUUUUGAUAUAUAAUUGGUUCGUUCGCAUAAGGAGUUGCCUUUAAAAUCUAAAUUCUAUAUAAUGACACACUUCUGGCGCGCACGUAUGUGUCUUUAAUUUUAAUCCGCCGUACCAGAAUCUUGAACAACCGCCGUAGUCGGUAUCAUAGAACCACUUGACUGUAAAAUCUCGACAUGAGCCUCUGUCUU